UACGUAGGUGGCGAGCGUUGUCCGGAUUUACUGGGCGUAAAGGAUGCGUAGGUGGAUGUUUAAGUCAGAUGUGAAAUACCCGAGCUUAACUUGGGUGCUGCAUUUGAAACUGGAUAUCUAGAGUGCAGGAGAGGUAAGUGGAAUUCCUAGUGUAGCGGUGAAAUGCGUAGAGAUUAGGAAGAACACCAGUGGCGAAGGCGGCACUCUGGGCCGGAACUGACGCUGAGGAGCGAAAGCGUGGGGAGCAAACAGG
RNAcentral lists this ribosomal RNA (253 nucleotides) under uncultured bacterium. RNAcentral describes it as "partial 16S ribosomal RNA". It matches the Rfam family "Bacterial small subunit ribosomal RNA", at positions 524 to 776 of the family's 1533-position model. The record is from RNAcentral.